GACGAACGCUGGCGGCGUGCUUAACACAUGCAAGUCGAACGGAAAGGCCCCUUUGGGGGUACUCGAGUGGCGAACGGGUGAGUAACACGUGAGUAACCUGCCCUUGACUUCGGGAUAACUUCAGGAAACUGGGGCUAAUACCGGAUAGGAAUCCUUGCUGCAUGGUGGGGGUUGGAAAGCUUCGGCGGUUUUGGAUGGACUCGCGGCUUAUCAGCUUGUUGGUGGGGUAGUGGCUUACCAAGGCUUUGACGGGUAGCCGGCCUGAGAGGGCGACCGGCCACAUGGGGACGGAGUGAGGCCCGAGAUCCCGAGGGGGGGAGGAGGGGGGAAAAUUGGAAAAAGGGGCGGAGGCUGGAUGAAGCAAGGCGGCGGGGGGAAGGAGGCCUUUGGGGUUGAAACCCGUUUACAGGGGGGGGGAGGCUUGUGGUGAGGGUACCUGAAAAAGAAGCACCGGCAAACUACGUC
Molecule: ribosomal RNA, 465 nt
Filed under: uncultured bacterium
Lineage: Bacteria
Description: partial 16S ribosomal RNA
Rfam family: Bacterial small subunit ribosomal RNA
Source: RNAcentral